This is a non-coding RNA of Stegodyphus mimosarum, 71 nucleotides long. The record is from Rfam. NCBI's taxonomy places the organism in Eukaryota, Metazoa, Arthropoda, Arachnida, Araneae, Eresidae.
GCCUUUGUGGUGUAACGGUAGAACACUCGAUGCGUAUUCGAGAGAUCCAGGUUCGAAUCUCGGUGAGGGCA